RNAcentral lists this ribosomal RNA (492 nucleotides) under uncultured bacterium. RNAcentral's name for it is "partial 16S ribosomal RNA". It matches the Rfam family "Bacterial small subunit ribosomal RNA", at positions 29 to 507 of the family's 1533-position model. The record is from RNAcentral.
AGUGAACGCUGGCGGUAGGCCUAACACAUGCAAGUCGAACGGCAGCACAGUAAGAGCUUGCUCUUACGGGUGGCGAGUGGCGGACGGGUGAGGAAUACAUCGGAAUCUACUUUUUCGUGGGGGAUAACGUAGGGAAACUUGCGCUAAUACCGCAUACGACCUACGGGUGAAAGCAGGGGAUCUUCGGACCUUGCGCGAUUGAAUGAGCCGAUGUGGGAUUAGCUAGUUGGCGGGGUAAAGGCCCACCAAGGCGACGAUCCGUAGCUGGUCUGAGAGGAUGAUCAGCCACACUGGAACUGAGACACGGUCCAGACUCCUACGGGAGGCAGCAGUGGGGAAUAUUGGACAAUGGGCGCAAGCCUGAUCCAGCCAUACCGCGUGGGUGAAGAAGGCCUUCGGGUUGUAAAGCCCUUUUGUUGGGAAAGAAAAGCAGCAGGUUAAUACCCCGCUGUUCUGACGGUACCCAAAGAAUAAGCACCGGCUAACUUCGUG